UCUACCCUGGCUUAAUUUAAAAACAUUUCCCUUUGUCCUAUCACUAUCAAGCCAUGUCAACAGUCAUUCCCCCUCCUGUUUAUAAGAUCCCUUCAAAUGCUGUAAUGCCACAACGAGGUCUCCCCAGAGCCUUCUCCUCUCCAAGCUAAACAAGCCCAGUUCCUUCAACCUUUCUUCACAUAAGAGGUGCUUCAGCUCUCUGAUCAUCUUGGUGGCCUUCCUCUGAACCCACUCCAAGAGCUCUUGACACACUUCUGGAACCUCCUGCAUUGUUUAUGCCCUGCUGUCUUAUCCCUUUAAUAGUUGUGAGGGAAGUUGAAUUUCCCCAUGAAGAUCAAGGCCAGAGGAUGUUAGAAUGCUCCUGUCUGUUAAUAGAGGGCCUCAGAUUCUUUUUCUUCACGAUCAGGUGGCCCAUAGCAGACACCCACUAAAGUGUCACUCUUACAUGUCUUCUCUUUAACCCCUACAUCUGACCUCUCAACAGAUUCUUCAUACAUUCCCACACUGGGCUGCAUGUACCUCUGUUGUUCUUGUUUAAAUGCAAUUGCAUCUUCUCAUCUUCCUGUCCUGCAUAACAUAUGUUUACGAGUGUUAAAAGAAAACAUUAAAAUUACCAUGUUGUCCAAAAAACAAAGCUCCACAUACCUUCAUGCUAAUUAGAUGAAAUUCAUGCUUACUUUAUAGUGAUGUUGCUGAAACAAAAUUUUUCACCUAGAAAUCUUUAACAUUUUUAUUAUUUUUUUCUUCACUUAUUUAUCUUUGAUUCUUAAACUGCUUUUGCAUUCCUUUCCAUGCAAAGGUGUUUAAGUUUAGACAGAGUGCAGAAGAGAGGAACUGAUUCUAAUGCCAGCUCAGCUUGAAAAGGUAAGAUGAUAAAAACUCUGAAAUUUUAAAAAUGCUUUUCUGCUACUUUAAAAAUCCCUCAGUCUUUACCUUUACAAAAGGAAAAUAAAAAUACAGUCUUUACAAUUAGAUCUCUGAAAACUAAUGGUCAUGUGUCAAAAAGAAACAAGCAGACCUAUAAUGCAAUUGUAUAAAACAGAGAGUAAUCAUAUUCAUACCAAUUUAUUCCUUAAUAAGUGUCAACUGACUUCAUGGUAGAUUAAUCUGAGUUCACUGCUAUAAAGUGAUAUAAAUAAGAACAUAGUUUAAUUAAUUCCUAAGUGAUCAAUUCAAAAUUAAAAAGAAAGGCAUUUCUGGUGGUGAUUUGAAGCAUUUUUCCUCUUCAUAACUGGGCAGUUUUCUUGAGCUUUGUCCUCAGACUCUCAGCAUCAGACUGUCUUGAAAUCUUUGCUAUUCUGGAUACUGUGAAGCACAGCUGUCCAUGGGAAAUGGAAAUCUUCUCCACAGUUAUUAGGAGCUGUGCUCCUGGAAGGGGUGGAGCUUGACUCCACCUCCUCUAGACCUCAUUUAGAGUCUGACCGCCACUAAGGCAGAAUUUCUAGGAGAUUGCUCUUUGGUGGAGAUUGUCUCAGCAGUUCCCAGUAGACUGAAGGCUUCCAUAUGGGUGAGUUUUUCAUGUAAAUAACCUUUUGGGUAUUUACAACUACCAUCUUUUCAUUAUUGUCUUCAUAUGUUUAGUAGUUACUAAAAGCUUGACAGACAGUAAGGGAGACUUCAUUUAAAGCACCUUGUAUAAUCCAUUUAGUUCUGUUUUGUGAGCUUUUUGCUGAGGGAGGGUUGGUUAGGGAGGGUAUAGGGCUGCUCAAGGAGCUGAGAGAAAGAAUGGUAAUCCCUGAGUAUUCCUAGAUAGCUUGAUUUCAAAUAAAAUUCCAGUCAUCUAAAAAACAUUAGUGUGAUAUAUGUGUGUUAUUGAUACUUCUGUUUGCUUCAUAUUCUGGGAGGUCAUUUCUUUUCUUAUUUUCUUUAGAAGCUUGUGUAAAAGAGGACAGAAAUCAGCUAAAAGAUCACCACUCCUAAUGGAAACUUAUGUUUUAGAGUAUCAGACAAGUGCUUAAGACAAUGCAGGUUACUUUAUUUUUUCCUUUUAUUCCCUGUAAUAACCUGGAAAUUCUAUCCUAGAAACAUAAAAUGUGCAUGCAUGAGUGCAUGUAGAGACACAUUUAUUGGUGUCAUAGCAGAAAAGGAUUAAAAUGCAGGUAGCCUAAACAGAAUAAUUUCAUUUUCCUUAGAUUUAUCUAUUAGGAAGUUGAAACCUUGAAAAAUAUUAAAAUUCAUUACAUAAAACUUCUUAUUUAUGACAUCAUUUUGUCAUGUUAUUGGAUAGCACUUGUUUGAUAUCUCAAAUGACUCAUGAGUCUUUGCAAUAGCAGUUAUCCAUACUGAUACAGUUUAUCAUAAUAUCAACUAUUCCAUGAAGAAAAGAAAUAUACACAAACAUAAAAUCAACUUGAACAUAAUUUGAGUAAAGGCAUUUUAAGAGUUGGAUUUACAGUCAAUCUAAACUUGCCUAGGCUUAAGUGAUGGUGCUGUGGUCUACAAUGGUGUGAAAAAGAACUCUGUACAGUAUGUUUACUUUUAGGUAAAAUCAACUGUUUCUUUGACUGGCUUUCUUUAACCACUGUGAGAAACUAACUCAAACAAUCACCAAUUGGCUUAUAUAGGAGAUGUAUAAAAUCAUAAGUAGAAACUCUAACUUAGAAACAAUACUCUGAAUUAGUCUGCUUAGAGGAAAGUGUUGUUUCCAAUACUUUUUUUUUUUUUCCUUUUAAAGAGCGUUAGCUAAGAUUAGAAUAAUUCCCUGACAAAUAUUUCUCCCAGUACUGCUUACUGCAGUUUUAAUGCUUUCUCAUUUAUUUUUUCAUCUAUUUCCCAGAUUUCCGACUUUUGAAUGCUUACCUUCUCCUCUGGCUGAAAGAGACUGUUUUGGGUAAGCUCCAAUACCAUACUAAACAGGCAAAAUGAGACACAUGAAAUUCAUAGACCUUGGCAGCAUAGAUAGCCAAGCAGUAGAAGAAGAAUUCCAGCUGAGCUAACAAGAAAAACUACUGAGAAUCUUUGGCUAGCCAGCAACAGAUUAGUGUGAUACAUUUCUAACACACUACAAAGAUCUGAUGUUCUCAAAAUCAAUGGAGCUAAAGAUUCUAUAGACCUGGCUUUUGGGGCAUAAUGACAUUUUUUAUUUUAUUUUUUCUCCUGAGAGAGUAAUUUCAAAACCAUGUUAGAACACACAUCUGAUACAAAGACCUUCAAUUUUCUGCAUCCUAUUUUGUUAUGCUCAGAUUCCCGUGUUGUUGUAUAUAUAUUCAGUUCUGGAAAGCUAUUUGAAGUUCCAGGAAAUUCUGGCCAGAAUAUUAGCAAAAUUGGUUGAAUAAAUCCACAGAUAACCAGCAUAUGAUAGAUAGAUGGAAAUUAAUAAUAGGAAAAGGAGUAGAGAUUUUUUUGCUGCUGAAACAGAUUUGAGUGUAAUGUGAGACCAUCAUUUUAAUCAUUUUUGACAAAUACAACCUGGAACAUUUAUCAAAUCAUCAUAUUUCCUGUAUUGAAAACUGAAAUAAGUAUUGAAUAUUUUUAUGGUCAUUGAUAUGUAUCAAAAUUAUUUUAAAAUGUCUCAAUACUUAGUUUAAUUUUUCUUAGUGCCAAAUAAUAAUUCCUAUGAAUACGUCAGAUGCCAUUUCUUGUGAGAGAAAUGGGUUAAUCUAAAAAGCUGGAGGAUAUCUUUUCUAGAAAUUCCUGUCAGAGAUAUCAUAGACAACUUGUGGCUUUUGAGCUAGUUGCUGGGAUCUACUUUCUUAGAAAUUUUUUUAAAAAGUGAAAAUUUUAAUGCCACUCUUUAAAUGGUGUGGGUUAAAUUUUAACUUUAUGCAGAUUUUAAAGAAAUAAGCUGUCUGUGGAUAUGGUAUAUACUAGAAGUUUGUACUCAGGAAAUUACACAUUAAUCUCUUAUACUUGCAUAAAGUCAUACCUGUAUCAGUUUUGCUACUAAUGUCCUGCUAUGUGUUGUAGGAUAUUCUGUUUCAAUAUUCAUACAAAAAAAGUGUUCUGCUUCUUCUAUCAUUAUUGUACAAAGCAUAUUAUAACUUAAGAAUACACAUUUCCAGUCUAAUCAAUCAUUUUUUAAGAUAUCAGUGUAAUCAAGUUUGAUAUCUACUUUGUUGUAAUGCAAAGAUGCAUAACUGUAACAUUCAUAGUGCUUUUAUGCCUUAGUGAUUAGAAAAGUAGAAACUUUUGAUAUUAUAUAGAAUCUUCAAAUAAUGUUUGCUAUAAAGGGACAUAAUUUUUAGUGGACAGUAUACAAACAGAUCUGUCACUGGUGAAGUGGACUUUAAUAUUAAUACCCAUUAAUACUGUGAUGCUUCUUAUCAUACUAAUAGUUGAUUACCUUCUCUGAGGGGCUGAAAUAAUGAUGAUGCUAAUGUAUGAAAAUAAAUCACUAAGUGUGUACUCUGUGCCAUUAGUAAAAUGUCUUUAAAUGAUAAUAGAACAAGUAUUUAAAUAAUUGUGGAGUUCUUGCCUUUGUGACUGAAGCAAAUUGAGCUUGACUGGAAAAUACCUUAAGAUCAGUCAUCAUGUUACUGCAAGGAAUUGCAGGAAAAAGAACAUGUACUUGCUUGUAGUCUCUCAAGAUGUCCUAAAUGUUAAAGAUUGGACUUUUUUUUUUUUUUAAAUCAUUCUCACUUUGGCAUACUCCAGCUUUUUAUUCAUCAGACCUUUGUCAACAUUUUCAGGUUCCCUGACUGUAAGUGGAUGUUCUAUCUAACUAUUAACAUGUUCCUCUUUUUGAACAGCAAUUUCUUGCUUACUCUAGCUUAAUGCUAUUCUACAAAUAAUGGUACAAAAGUAAUUACUAGAUUAUUAAUUUAACAAAAUCUUCAUUUUUUAAUGUAAUUAAUUUCUUCAGUUUUCAGAAUAAAAGCAUAGAAUUGAUGUUCAAUUUUAACAUUUAAAAAAAACCUACAAAAAACCACCAGCAACCACCAACAAUAAAUUACAGGCCAAGCACUUCAUAAAUCUAACAUUUUAUUGUUAUCAUGUGGAGGUCAAAUAAAUUUAUAAAUCAGUAAAGCACUGUACUGAAGUUUGAUUUUUUUUUUUUAAUGCAUAAUUAUAUCUACAUAUGUGAUGGACUGCUGUUUAGGCACCCUGGUUGCGGGGAGAAUGUUCUACAGAUAAAUGUGUUCAGUGCUCCUUGUUGUGCUUAUCCAUGAAGCAUCAUGCUUAUGCAAACACAUCAAAGCCCUUAGUAAUACAGCAUCAUACAGCAUAGAAAAUUAGGAAUAGUAUUGUGAGCUACUGGUAUGUGAUAUGGUCCUUGACCAAAUAUUGAAAAGCAAAAGCUAAGUAGAACUGAGAUUUCUUUUUAUCUUUGAAAGCUGCUGUACAGUUGUAUUCUUUAUGCUUAUUUCAUGCCUUCAGCUCUAAAAUAGUUUUAUCCCUGUUAGCAUGAUUUUUUAUUUUUUUAUUUUUUUGUUUUUUUAUUUAUUUAUUUUUUCCCACUCAGUGAAUAGUAGGUAAGGAUACUUCAAAUCAAUGACCGGUAAAUAAAAUAUUUGUUCAGAGCAUGCCUAUGCUCUCUAUGAGAAUGCUUUAAUAUUUAGAGAAAUUUUAGUGAGAGUAUUCUCUCUUCUAAAUAUACUGGGGCUUAAUCUAGCACUGUCUUUCCAGUUGACAACAUGUGGUUAAUUAAAAUAUUCUGAUUUGACUUCUGAAAUUCAAUUUAUUAAAUGAAAAUAAGCAAAAUACUAACCACUGAAACGUUUCAUUUCAUAGAUCUAUUCAUAUUGUUAACCAAAAAACUGUAAAUGAAUUACAUAUGGAAGUAAGGGUUACAGCUGCAGUAGGAAAAAAAGAUAAUAAAAAGAUGUGGGUUUUCUUUGGGGAAAAAAUGUCACCCUUAAAAGACAUGUAUGCAUUUGUAUUUGAGAGGAAGAGGGAAUAUGUGAAUUUAAGAAAAAUUGUGAAGGGCAUAUCAUCACCUUGAUGUAACAACACAGGGCAGUAAAGAGGUAGACAGUCAUUUUCUUGCCCAGCCAAAAAUUAUUGAAGGAAUUAUUACAAGGAAAAAUAUAACUUUCUCUGUAUUUUUGAGUGUAAAAUCACUUAUUAUUAGUUUUUCUGAAGGCUUCUGUGUCCUGAUACAUGACAUCAAGUAAGCAAGAAGAUCAAACAAUAAUUAUUCAUUAUUUGUAUAGAUACUUGAUAAUAGGCUGUAUAUUCAUGUUUCAAGUAACUCCUGGAAAGCAAACAGAAUGCAUGCCUCAGAAAGAUAAGCAGCUUUCCUAUAUUCUAUAAUACCAAUAAUAAUUUCUAACAAAAAUAGUAAUAAAAAGGGUGAAAUUCCAUGGUUUGAAGUUUACAGAAUAAUAGCUGACUCAGGUCAGUCAGCUAAAAUUAAUAAUGUUUUCAUUUGGCUGCAUAAAGUCUAUUUCAUAUACUUAGCAAAGAGGAACAAAAGUCUAUUCUGAUGUGAAGUGACACUUGAGACAAAUAGAAGCAUGAAGUUAUUCCACUAGUGUUGUUGUAGGAUGGUCCAAAUAACUAUAUUUAUAUUUAUUUAUUUAUAUUUGUUUCUUCUGUACACCAAACAGCUUCUCAGGAAUAUUCUAACUGAAAUUCAAGAACUGACAAAAUAAAUGCAUAUCCAAAUACAUAGUUGAUUUCUAUAUAUGUAUUUCUAUUUACAGACUGUCUGCUUGAUAUUGGGAAAACUCAAUACAUGAAAAAUAUAUGAAAAUUAAAUCUUGCUGCACUGUACUCCAUAUACUCAAUAUGUUAAAUAUUUGAAGAGUAUAAUUGCAGAAUAUUUGUAAAAAACAAACAAACAAAAAAAGAAAAAGUGCUGCUAUAGUUAUUCAACAAAGAAAAAUUUCAAAUCAACAGGUGGUAAAGUCAUUACCAGCAAAGAAGAAAACAGAACUGUAACAUUUGAAAGACCUUGCAGAGGCACACAGCUCUUCCUUCAAGAAAUCCUUAAAAAAAACUCUUAAUGAAGACAAAUUUUAAAUGUACUUUCUUAACAUAAAGAAAUAAAUUCCUCUGCUUGUUUGGCUGGUUUUGCAAAUAUUACUUGUAGUUUAGUAAGACUGGUAUAUUUCUUAUAUAUGUCAUUACUUCCUGUAACAAAGAACACUUCUUUUGAACUACAGAACUGCUCAUUUGUUAUUGAAAAAACAUUAUAUUUUUAGUCAACAUUGGUUAAACACAUAGUGGUCAAUAAUGUUGAGCUGUGAAUCCAAAGGGUAUAUUUAGUUAUCUAUAUAUAGAUAUUAUGAAAUGCUUCAAUUUCAUUUUUAUUACCUUCCAAUCAAUUAAAGUUUUGGUGAAAAAAAAACUCUCCCUAGUCUUCCCUAGGAUUUGAAAAUUUUCAGGAACUCCUCUUCUUGGUGAAGAUGUGGACAUGAUGAAUGAAGAACCUCCUGUGUCCUGGCAGAAUGAAUGCCACACAGGAAUUUCAGCUCUACAUUUCCUGACUUGGGGUGACCUUUAAGGAGCUAUAGAAAGUAUUGGGGCAGACAGAACACUUUUCUUGAGAAAACUUUUCACACCAACACUUGAAUCAGCCUUGCCUUCUUUGACAAGAAAGUGGACUAUAGUAUCUUCUAUCAAGCUAACCUGAAUCUUGUGCUACACCUUGGCUUCAGUUUUCCCAGGAACUUUUUGCAUCUAACAUUAAUGAUGUCUGAACUAAAUGUCUUGACAACAGAGCACAACUUAGUUGACUGAAGACAGCAUCAAAGUUCUUGAAACAAGAUGACAUUUUGAAAAUGUUUUAUGGUGUUAAAAUUUGUUCUACUCCAGAAUGUAUGCUUGUGUCCAUCAGAUUGUGUCCUUAAAAAUGUUUUCAUUUGCUCUGCUUUAUUUUCUUGAAGUUCACUACAAAAAGUAGUACGUAAUUUAAUGUUGAUUUUAAUCCUAUAAUCUCCUUCAAAGGGCUGAUUUUGUUACUAGUAGUGAGAUUACUGUGUGUUAGGUCGUUUCAAAAUCUUCUGUUGGUAGAGAAAAACAAAGCUAUGCCAUCUUACUGAAAAUAUUUUCUCUUGAACCAAAUCAGAAUUCACAGUUCAAGUAGUACUACUUCCAGCCUGUUGUAGAACGGUGGGAGAAAAGCAAAUGACCACACCUGUCAUUGACAUAUGAUCAGUUAAUCUCAUUUAUUCCUUGGCUAUGUGUACAUUUAUGACACAGAUAAUUAGCUCAUACAUAUUGCAAAAGUGGAGCUCAUCAUUGGUUCCCAAUUACAUACCAUCCCCAAGUAUCUUUGCAGCUUGUUGUUAUCAUCCUGAAAGUUAGUCCCUUGCUGAGUUCACAAAACCAUGGCUAGUUUCUCACCAUCACAGGGCAUCCUGUUGUUCUUGCUGUCCUUGCAGGUGGUAUGGCUGCUUUUUUAGCUGCGCUGUGUUUAUGACCCUUCUCAGCUAACCAGCUGUAAAUAACACUCUCUACACCAGCCCUCUGCUUUUGAUUUGUUUUAUGACAGUAAGUAUACCCAGCAUGGGAUGAGUAAAAGAACAACAUAUUUUUGUGAUAAAAAUAUAGUUGGAAGGUUUUGUACCAUUAUUUUCUCAGCAUAUUUUCAAAGGUGCACUUCGGUGUAAAUUAUGUUGUUUGUUUUCAUAGGCAGAGCACUGCAAAAUAUUCCUGUGAUCGUUCUGAUGCAUAGGUUGUCCGUGAAGCAGUGCAGCAAUAGCCAUUGCACUGCUACAGAUGUGCCUCGCAUAUGCAUUGUGUGCACACAAUGCUUUUGGACUGCUGACAAAACUACCUCAGUUCUGUAGAAUGCCUCUUAAGUUACGGCUCUUCCAGAGGUCUGCAGCAGUUUUCUUGUGGUGCUAAGUUUGUUGAUUUUUGUAGAGACAGACAGUAAUCUGAAACAUUUUUACUGCAAACUGAGUUGUAAAUAAACUCUCCCCAAUAGUUGAAAGGGACAGCUUAGUUGUGCAAAGAAAUGUUGAUGACAUUCAUUUUCAAAUAAAUAAUUCUAUUUCUAAGCCCUCCUAGAAAUGUAAAAUGUGUUCUCUAAUUUAGAAUUCAUUACCAACAAGAAUUUUUGAGUAGAUGUCCUUCUAAAUAAUUCACAGAUAUAUUUUACACAAUUUGUCAUACAAUUAAUAGUAGUAAAAUUGUUUCUAUUCAGAGAAUCGCAUCUAAUUUUCUAGAAAGUAUAACUGUCAGUUACAAAAAGGAAGCUCUGUCCUAAAUUUUGAAUAACUGCAAUAAUUUUAACAUAAAUAGGAUGAUCUAGGAGAAUACUGUAAUGGAAAAUUACUUAUUUAUUUUCGACAUUUCUAAAUGUUAAUGUAUUUAUUAAUAUUUUAUUACCAAUAUAAAGGACAAAAUAGAUAAAUUAUAUGUAUAGUAAAUGGGACUAUAAAUUGUAGUGAAAGAAUAUUAUGUAGAUUAUUAGAUUGCAUGAACAACUAAGUCAUUAUCAGUAUGAGAUGUAACUGCUUACUACUUUUACAGUUGAGUGUAAAGUAAGAAGAAAACAAGAACAUGAAAUAAAUUGAAUAAAAUGAAAAUGGAAUACUAGUAGCAAAAUAACAGAAAUUUGUGUAUAAUGUGUAUAAUGUGAAGAAAGGACUAUCUGUCAGAUUACAAAGAACAAUUCCCAUGUAAACCUCAAUUAAGAAAAGAUUAAUCUGGAAAACACCCACAGCAUAAGAAAAAAAGAGUAAUAUACCACAUGUUUUACUUAAAUGUUAGUAUUGUUUUUCCUGAAACUAGAAAUCCUGAUUAAAAAAUCCUAUUAAAAAAUGGCCUGAUAAAAAAAUUAUUGGGUGUAACCUGAAAAUAAAACUAAACUUUUGCUGGACAGAUGUGGUGUUGAGCGGUCCGCAUGGGUUAUUCCCUCAUACAAAAGUCUUAUCCUACAAGUUUUAUUUGCGUGGUGUAGGAAUCCUCUUAUUUCAUCCCAAUGAGAAAAAGCUGAGGUGCUACCUUUGCACAAUACUGGUCCUACACUAUGGUUUGUAGAUAUGAAGAAGAUAACACAUUCUUGUAAGGACUCUACUACCAAAUCUGAAUUUCAUUUUAUUAUUGCUACCAUGACCACAUUGAUUGUGAAGGUGUUUCAAAGGUAGCGGUAUAUUUUUCUUUAUUAAUUAGACUAGAGAUGAAUUAUUUAAUGCAUUUACAUGAAAUGAAUUAUUUAAUGCAAUGUUGUGAAAACACAAAGUCUUGAGAAAGUAGAUCACAAAGAAAGAAGAAUUUAUGUGAACUCUUUAAGAAGACUAGAAACAGGGCACGUGUGAAUACAAAGUGAAUUGUGUCCACAUAAAAUGUGAACAUUGGCAGAUUGCUUUUUCUUCUUGCCAGUAAAAAGUCAUUCUCAAAGUAAUGAGUACUUUUAGGUAACUGGGUAAUGAUGUGUUUAUCCUCUGACUGUGACUGUCAUGAAUAUCACUCUGGAUUUGUACAUUCUUUGAUUUUUAUUUACAGAUUUAUACUUCUAUCUAUGUUUUUUAGGAAAGUAAUAAUAUUAUUAUUAAAAUUAAUUGCUAAAUAUUGUUGUGCUACUAAUUCAGAAGUUAAUGUGUAUUUCUAUAAGUGAAAUGCAUAUGAAGAGGUCUGAUAUUUUCUUUUUUUAAAAUUAUUUUAAUAAAUCAAAAGGAGGAUCCAGGGACUGUACAUGUUUUAUAUGUGUAUAUAUAUAUGUACAAAAAAGAUCAGGUUUUCCCAUAUGCAUGGGAUUGAUUAUAUUUCUCCAAAGCAAUUUAAAAUGCACUGAAUUAUACUUCCUUUAAGGUUCUAGAACAUUCAUAAUAGAAGUUGCUGUUUAUUUUCA
Molecule: non-coding RNA, 10684 nt
Organism: Coturnix japonica (Japanese quail)
Lineage: Eukaryota; Metazoa; Chordata; Aves; Galliformes; Phasianidae
Source: RefSeq, a predicted model, not a curated record